Long non-coding RNA from Nyctereutes procyonoides (raccoon dog), 3161 nucleotides. RefSeq lists it as uncharacterized. The record is from RefSeq and is a predicted model, not a curated record. NCBI's taxonomy places the organism in Eukaryota, Metazoa, Chordata, Mammalia, Carnivora, Canidae. The transcript has 8 exons.
CGACUACCUUGGUCACGUCCCAGGACUUACCCUCUCCAUAAAACUAAGAGGGGGAAUGUGUCUUUGGCACAAUUUCAGCUGUUUUAUAUAUUCAUUCCUGCUUCGCUUUGCCCUGGCUUGUUAGUUAUUAUGUGACCUUAAGCUUGAUUUUAACUUGAGAAAGCUCAGAUCUGGAGGCUCUUUCGAAGUCUGUUUCAGGAGACGGGACUAACUAGUAACAGAAUGUACACUGGCAGGAGAUUCGGAUCCCAGCUCUGCCAAAUCAGAGUCUGACAAGGACGACCCUCCUCUCAGGUUCCUCAACUGUAAAGUGAGCUUCAACAUGCCUUCCGCAGGGAGUGUUACGGGACGGUUACAACUUGAAUAUAUUUGAAGCCAUUGGCACAUAAUAAUUCUCUACACCCAUCGCGGGGCUCGAACUCACGACCCUGAGAUCAAGAGUUGCACGCUCUUCAGACUGAUGCGGCCAGGCGCCCCUCUCCUUCUCCUAUUUAAGACAAUAUGCCAAGUGGGACCAGGAUAUGAAACCAUAUGAGUCAUGCCCUUGGGGAUCCCAGUGAAGGAGACAGUUUUGAUGCGCAUGAUUUCCAAAUGGAUUAGGACAGCUGGAUUCAGGGAGGAGGGAAUGAAAAAUCGAUGUCGAUGACACAGAGGUCAGAAACAUUUGGCUGGAGGCGCUAGUAACCAAGUGCAAAAGAAGGUUUCCCAAAGCAUGGCCUAUGGGCUACUCACAUUAGUACCUGAAGAAGCUAAACGCAAUUCAGUUUCCAGCUCCUUCUCUAAUUUUACUAAGAAUUUGAGAGACAGACUCCAGAAGCAGUGAUUUUGUUGACCAAGAGCACCCAACAGAAUUGGCAACGAGAAGAGCGUGGCGCAGUACCCGGGAAGCAUUAAAUGCUAGAAAGCUCCGUGGGUGAUGCUGACAGAUGACACUGUUUGUUCUAGCUUCUCCCGUGUGUUGUCCUCGGGCCAGCUUCCCUUGCGGUUGUAAGAUGGCUGCCAACAGCAGUGGGGGACAACAUGCUGCCUUGUUUGUGCCCAGAGGAGGGUGAGAAGGGAAGAAAGUGUGAAUAGAAGAGUAUUUUUCCAGUUGGACAACCUCCUAGAUCACCUCUGAAGUGACCAAUAAUCCCGAGUUGCUUGGGAGUGAGGAGUGUCCUGGGAUGUGGGCUUGCAGCACCAAAACCAAGCAAAUCUGGAGCAAACACGGAGGAUCCUUCUCCGCAUCUUCAAGUCCCUGACUUACUCAUCUUCAAGUAACUGAGAUCUGCCUUUGUUUUAUUUCUCAGAAAGGGAUAUUUUUCGAUGUUCAAAAAAUUUGCAGAAGCAAGCUGGGAAAGAUUGGAGGGGAAAGCCCAGCAUUUUUGCAUGAGAAGAGCAAGUUUAAGUCUCUAGUGAAAUAGUCGGAAACAUCUCUGCCAACUGUGAACAAGGGAGCACGGAUCACAGGGGAGAAAAAUCCGGGAGCAACCCGGGAAGUGAAGAAUUCCAGAUGCUGGACGCCACCUGGUGGGGACCUGGAGGUUUUUGGGGAAAAAAAAUAAAAUAAAAUAAAUGCCAGGAUAUCAGAACUGAGGGAUGGCUUAAAAUCAUUAUUAUGCCUUUUAUUCAUUCUCACGAUAAGCACCCAUCGAGGACUUGCUGUGCACUGAGAACGUUAGGAAGCUCUAAGUUAUAGGAAUUAUUUGUAGUUGAGUCUACACAGCUAAUAACCAAGAAUUCUAAGCUUGCUUUCCUGUUACAGGAUUAAUGUCUAGAUUAAGCCUCCAUUCUGGGGACGCCUGGGGGGCUCAGUGGUUGAGCAUCUGCCUGGGGCUCAGGUGGUGAUCCCCGGGUCCUGGGAUCGAGUCCCCCAUGGGCUCCCCGCAGGGAGCCCGCUUCUCCCUCUGCCUGUGUCUCUGCCUCUCUCUGUGUGUCUCUCGGGAGUAAACAAAUAAAAUCUUUAAAAACCCCACAAACCCUCCACUUUGUUCGGUGAUGAAGAGUCAUCUCAGCCCCUUGAGCGCCCCUACACUCAUGCCUGGUUAGGCCUGAGGGCUGGGCGUUAGCUGGUGACAGGUGUCCCCGGGCAGGGCUCUGUGCUGACCUGCCCUGGUUUCUGUCUGCCCUUUGGCCUCGGCCCACAGGUCAUCGCUGAAUCUGCUCUCGUUCCCCUCUCAGGGUUUCUCCACGUCUGCCUCUGUCUCAGCCAGUCCAUUGCCUUCCCAGACCUUCUGCUGCUUCUAGAAGGCUCUCGACUGCGCUGUGUGAUUAGGCACAUGGAACCUUCACUUCCGUGCCGGCGUCUUGAUGCUUCCCUGGGUUUUACCUAGGAACUGAGUCACGGGUCCCUUUGACCUCAGAGUCUCCAGAUGUCCCUUGGGCUUCUUCUGCCCCAUGUUCUAGAAGCACGGAAGGGCUGCUUAUGUUCAAAUAUCCCUGUGAGGCUAAAUCACGGUCCGCAUGUUGGACAGCAAAGGCAGGUAGGACCAACGGGGUAAACUGAGGCCAGGUGGUAAAAGAUCUUAUCUGUUAUGCUAGAGAGUUUGUGUAAGUGCAUUGCAAUCGGAAGACUAUUUCAGUCUCUAGCAUCUCUCAUAGCCGUUUUCUGAUGUUUUGGUCCGAAAUUCAGGCAGUUUUAAACAGAAAGCUUUAAAAUAUAUAUUACGGAGUUUAUCGUCGCCCGGUAUUAAAUCAUACCUUGAGAUAUAGUUUAGAUACGUCUCUUAUCGCCUACGUGCUCCAUAAAUAUCGUCUCACUCUCCGUGACUUGCUUUUCUGUUUUCCUUCCCCAGCAUUUUCUCUCUCUCUCUCGUUUAACCUGCAGAGAUGGCCCAACUCCAAACUUUAUUCCAAACUCGAACUUGAAAUCUGUCUCCUCACCCUUUUCUCCUUUCUCUUAUUUUUAUUUUUUGUACGUAUUUCCGUGUGUGUGUGUGUGUGUGUGUGGCUUGACUCUGUAAUGUUCAGCUCUACAUGUGUCUAGCUUCGGGUGUCCACCAGCAGUCAGAGCACUGCGGUCACCGCAGAGACUCCAGGUGUGGCUCUUUUAAAACCAUAUCCACGGACACCCCCGCCCUUACCCACCCCGCCUGGCCCCUGACAAUCAUUAAAGUUUGUCAUUUCAAACGUUACCUAAAUAGAUCCAUACGGUAGGGAAACUUUUUUUUUUAAUGCAUUUA